AUUGAACGCUGGCGGCAGGCCUAACACAUGCAAGUCGAACGAGUGGCGGACGGGUGAGUAAUGUCUGGGAAACUGCCGGAUGGAGGGGGAUAACUACUGGAAACGGUAGCUAAUACAGACUAGCAUCAGAUGUGCCCAGAUGGGAUUAGCUGGUUGGUGGGGUAACGGAUCACCAAGGCGACGAUCCCUAGCUGGUCUGAGAGGAUGACCAGCCACUCUGGAACUGAGACACGGUCCAGACUCCUACGGGAUGCAUCAGUGGGGAAUAUUGCACAAUUGGCGCAAGCCUGAUGCAGCCAUGCCGCGUGUAUGAAGAAGGCCUUCUGGUUGUAAAGUACUUUCAGCGGGGAGGCGUUACCCGCAGAAGAAGCACCGGCUAACUCCGUGCCAGCCGUCGCGGUAAUUC
Molecule: ribosomal RNA, 406 nt
Filed under: uncultured bacterium
Lineage: Bacteria
Description: partial 16S ribosomal RNA
Rfam family: Bacterial small subunit ribosomal RNA
Source: RNAcentral